Small nuclear RNA from Rhinolophus ferrumequinum (greater horseshoe bat), 104 nucleotides. NCBI's taxonomy places the organism in Eukaryota, Metazoa, Chordata, Mammalia, Chiroptera, Rhinolophidae. The record is from Ensembl.
AUGCUCGCUUCGGCAGCACAUGUACUAAAAUUGGAACGAUACAGAGAUUAGCAUGGCCCCUGCGCAAGGGUGACACGAAAGAUUAAUCAGUUCUACAAUGGUUA